AGCUUUGAGCUAAAUAUAUUAUAAUAUUAGUUAUUUUAAAAGGUGUUGUAUAACCUUAUUAAAAAUUAUAUUUAGGGGUGAUAGGCUUUUCAAAAUCUAAGAUAUCUUGAAUCUAAUUAAAAGUAUGUAGUACAUUUAACACGACUAUUAAGUGAUUAGGCUUUAUAGAAACUAUUAAACUUUAAGAUAUUUUUAUUUAUUAUAAUUUAAUAACUAAGUAUAUAAAUAAAUUAACAUUCAUAUAUUAUAAUUUAUAAAAGAGUAAUUAGAUAGAUUUAAGUUUAUAUAAAAUUGUAAUAAUGUUAAUAUUAGUAUAUAAUUUAUAUUUAUAUGAUGAACUCGGCAAAAAUGCUUCUCAACUGUUUAUCAAAAACAUAACUAUGUGAAAUAAUACAUAGCGGUUUCUGCUCAA
Molecule: ribosomal RNA, 412 nt
Filed under: Mandarina sp. B AD-2007
Lineage: Eukaryota; Metazoa; Mollusca; Gastropoda; Stylommatophora; Camaenidae
Description: partial 16S ribosomal RNA
Source: RNAcentral